Molecule: ribosomal RNA, 459 nt
Filed under: uncultured bacterium
Lineage: Bacteria
Description: partial 16S ribosomal RNA
Rfam family: Bacterial small subunit ribosomal RNA
Source: RNAcentral
CCUACGGGGGACAGCAGUGAGGAAUAUUGGUCAAUGGGCGCGAGCCUGAACCAGCCAAGUCGCGUGAGGGAAGACGGUCCUAUGGAUUGUAAACUUCUUUUGUCGGGGAGCAAAAGACGCCACGCGUGGCGUUCCGAGAGUACCCGAAGAACAAGCAUCGGCUAACUCCGUGCCAGCAGCCGCGGUAAUACGGAGGAUGCGGGCGUUAUCCGGAUUUAUUGGGUUAAAGGGGGGCGAAGGCGGAAGAUCAAGUCAGCGGUAAAAUUGAGGGGCUCAACCUCUUCGAGCCGUUGAAACUGGUUGUCUUGAGUGAGCGAGAAGUAGGCGGAAUGCGUGGUGUAGCGGUGAAAUGCAUAGAUAUCACGAAGAACUCCGAUUGCGAAGGCAGCAUACUGGAGCGCAACUGACGCUGAUGCACGAAAGUGUGGGUAUCGAACAGGAUUAGAUACCCCUGUAGUC